Molecule: ribosomal RNA, 301 nt
Filed under: uncultured bacterium
Lineage: Bacteria
Description: partial 16S ribosomal RNA
Rfam family: Bacterial small subunit ribosomal RNA
Source: RNAcentral
CAGUAGCCACGGUAACACGUAGGGUGCGAGCGUUAAUCGGAAUUACUGGGCGUAAAGCGUGCGCAGGCGGUUGUGUAAGACAGGUGUGAAAUCCCCGGGCUUAACCUGGGAACUGCGCUUGUGACUGCACAGCUAGAGUAUGGCAGAGGGGGGUGGAAUUCCACGUGUAGCAGUGAAAUGCGUAGAGAUGUGGAGGAACACCGAUGGCGAAGGCAGCCCCCUGGGCCAAUACUGACGCUCAUGCACGAAAGCGUGGGGAGCAAACAGGAUUAGAUACCCCCGUAGUCCCUGUCUCUUAUAA